Non-coding RNA from Cajanus cajan (pigeon pea), 322 nucleotides. NCBI's taxonomy places the organism in Eukaryota, Viridiplantae, Streptophyta, Magnoliopsida, Fabales, Fabaceae. The record is from RefSeq and is a predicted model, not a curated record.
AAAAAGAAGAAGAAAAAAUUGGCUUCUUGCCUUCAAGUUCUGUCGAUCCUUAUCCAUCUGCUUUCGUCUCAUUCAACUUUCAAACUUUUGCAGCCGCGCAAUUUUCUUUCUUUUAACUCAUUCAGUCCCAGUGGAAAAAGAGGUCCCGAGUUUUACGUUUGCGGCUGGUGUUGCAACAAUGGUUUGUAACACGAACAAGAGCAACAAGAAGGAGAAAGACCUUGAGUUUUUCUUCGAGGAUGAUUUCAACGAAAGUGCACAACAAGAUAUUGAAAGUGCAAAGUUAACGAUAGAGAGUGAAAGUAGCAGUGAUGAUGACGAG